AAAAUUUAAUGCAGAUGGGUGUACAUGUUUAUGCAUUUAUAUUGAGUGUGAUUAAAUGUUACAUUGUUUGUUUAUUACCGGAGAUAUGUUUUUUUAAAAAUGGUCAAAAUGUAUUGUUUCUUUAAAAAUAUUAGACACAUGCUUUGAGACAUUGUUUGAAACCUAUGCUGAUAGUGGGUUCAUUUUGUUUUAACAUGUAAUUUGUUAAAUAAUUUGAUUGAUGGUGAUUAGAGCUAUCACUGUUUUUGGGGGGCUGGUCCUAAAAGCGAGAGAUGAAUAUUUGAAGGUGUAAGUUUAUUUCAUGUAUGAACAAUACCGACUACAGCGGAGUUGAUUUUGUUUUAGUUAAGUAAUCAGUACAGAAUUAGCCACCGCGAGUUUGUUUGCGCGGAUUGAGCUCGAGUCGGUGACGGUUGGAGUCAUCACUAUCUACACUAAUUGCUGAGUGUAAGAGAUUGUCGGCACUGCGAAAGUGGAGGAGGGAGGCCAGAGCCACCGCAUUCAGACGAGGAUAUCGUGGAGUGAAAGUUGGUUUGCGAAGUUGGUCUGAGCAGGCCCAGAAGAGGAGGCACCGACCACCACUGAGAAUUUUUUAACUUGAUGCCAGUGACCAGCCAUAUGAAUAUAUCUUUGUUGAUGAGGCUGGAUUUAACCUCACCAACAGAAGUCAAAGAGGUCAAAACAUUAUUGGACAGCGGGCUAUUGUGGAAGUUCCUGGGCAGGUGGGAGGAAAUGUGACCAUGUGUGCAGCCAUAAGUGAACACGGGGAGCUCCACCACCAUGCCAUUUGUGGCCCUUACAACACAACACAUCUGUUACAUUCCCUUGAUCAUCUUUAUGAAAAUGCUGAGCAAUGACAACAAAAUGAGGCUGGAAGGGCAGAGUUGUCACAAUACAUUUUGAUUUGGGACAAUAUCAGUUUCUACAGAGCUGCAGCUGUACAUAACUGGUUCACUGAUAAUACCGGGUUUUUAAUUUGUUCUUGCCAGCAUACUGUGCCCAUUUCUGAAGCCCAUAGAAGAAUUCUCCUUGGCAUGGCGGUGGAAAGUUUAUGACUGGAAUCCCUAUGCAGCAGGGAAUCUUCUCAGGACUAUGGAGGAAACCUGUGGGGAUAUCACUUUGUGGCGUGACCCAGCCCAGAGACAUGAAGCUGAUGAAUGUCUGUAAUGUACAGUAUUUACAGUAACAUACAUUUAUCAACUUCAUGCACAUUUUCUUUUCUUUUAUGUUUGUUGCAGCCUGGAUAGAACUUUAUUUUUCCCAGUUCAUGAGUUUACAUGCUGUUGAUUUUGGAGCAGUGCAUUUGAGAAAAAUAAAAUAUUUGAAACAUAA
This is a long non-coding RNA of Brienomyrus brachyistius, 1332 nucleotides long. RefSeq lists it as uncharacterized. The record is from RefSeq and is a predicted model, not a curated record. Lineage: Eukaryota; Metazoa; Chordata; Actinopteri; Osteoglossiformes; Mormyridae. The transcript is spliced from 3 exons.